RNAcentral lists this ribosomal RNA (483 nucleotides) under uncultured bacterium. RNAcentral describes it as "partial 16S ribosomal RNA". It matches the Rfam family "Bacterial small subunit ribosomal RNA", at positions 30 to 506 of the family's 1533-position model. The record is from RNAcentral.
AUUGAACGCUGGCGGCAGGCCUAACACAUGCAAGUCGAGCGGAUGAAGGGAGCUUGCUCCUGGAUUCAGCGGCGGACGGGUGAGUAAUGCCUAGGAAUCUGCCUGGUAGUGGGGGAUAACGUCCGGAAACGGGCGCUAAUACCGCAUACGUCCUGAGGGAGAAAGUGGGGGAUCUUCGGACCUCACGCUAUCAGAUGAGCCUAGGUCGGAUUAGCUAGUUGGUGGGGUAAAGGCCUACCAAGGCGACGAUCCGUAACUGGUCUGAGAGGAUGAUCAGUCACACUGGAACUGAGACACGGUCCAGAAUCCUACGGGAGGCAGCAGUGGGGAAUAUUGGACAAUGGGCGAAAGCCUGAUCCAGCCAUGGCGCGUGUGUGAAGAAGGGCUUCGGAUUGUAAAGCACUUUAAGUUGGGAGGAAGGGCAGUAAGUUAAUACCUGGCUGUUUUGACGUUACCAACAGAAUAAGCACCGGCUAACUUCGU